This 76-nucleotide transfer RNA is filed under the name Eubacteriales bacterium OttesenSCG-928-K08. RNAcentral describes it as "tRNA-Val". It matches the Rfam family "tRNA". Rfam says of the family: Transfer RNA (tRNA) molecules are approximately 80 nucleotides in length. The record is from RNAcentral. Lineage: Bacteria; Bacillati; Bacillota; Clostridia; Eubacteriales. RNAcentral also lists the same sequence under 1 other name.
GGGGGCAUAGCUCAGCUGGGAGAGCACUUGCCUUACAAGCAAGGGGUCACUGGUUCGAGCCCAGUUGUCCCCACCA